GGGCGAAUGGUCUAGGGGUAUGAUACUCCCUUCGCAUACAAAUCAUCCCAAAAUCUAGGAUUAUAAUGCUUGGGAGGGGUCCGGGGUUCAAUUCCCCGUUCGUCCA
Molecule: non-coding RNA, 106 nt
Organism: Xylaria sp. FL0064
Lineage: Eukaryota; Fungi; Ascomycota; Sordariomycetes; Xylariales; Xylariaceae
Source: the annotation of a GenBank genome assembly